CCUACGGGAGGCAGCAGUGGGGAAUAUUGGGCAAUGGGCGCAAGCCUGACCCAGCAACGCCGCGUGAAGGAAGAAGGCUUUCGGGUUUUAAACUUCUUUUGUCAGGGACGAAGCAAGUGACGGUACCUGACGAAUAAGCCACCGUUAACUACGUGCCAGCACCCGCUGUAAUACGUAGGUGGCAAGCUUUAUCCGGAUUUAUUGGGUGUAAAGGUCUUGUAGGGGGGAAUGGAAGUCAGAUGUGAAAACUAUGGGCUCAACCCAUAGCCUGCAUUUGAAACUGUAUUUCUUGAGUGCUGGAGAGGUAAUCGGAAUUCGGGGUGUAGCGGUGAAAUGCGUAGAUAUACGGAAGAACACCAGUGGCGAAGGCAGAUUGCUGGACAGUAACUGACGCUGAGGCGCGAAAGCGUGGGGAGCAAACAGGAUUAGAUACCCUAGUAGUC
Molecule: ribosomal RNA, 443 nt
Filed under: uncultured bacterium
Lineage: Bacteria
Description: partial 16S ribosomal RNA
Rfam family: Bacterial small subunit ribosomal RNA
Source: RNAcentral